GAUGAAGAACGCAGCGAAAUGCGACAAGUAAUGUGAAUUGCAGAAUUCAGUGAAUCAUCGAAUCUUUGAACGCACAUUGCGCCCGCUAGUAUUCUGGCGGGCAUGCCUGUCCGAGCGUCAUUUCAACCCUCAAGCCCCCGGGCUUGGUGUUGGGGAUCGGCGAGCCUCCGCGCCCGCCGUCCCCUAAAUCUAGUGGCGGUCUCGCUGUAGCUUCCUCUGCGUAGUAGCACACCUCGCACUGGGAAACAGCGCGGCCACGCCGUUAAACCCCCAACUUCUGAACGUUUGACCUCGGAUCAGGUAGGAAUACCCGCUGAACUUAAGCAUAUCAAUAAGCGGAGGA
This 343-nucleotide unclassified non-coding RNA is filed under the name soil metagenome. RNAcentral describes it as "partial contains 5.8S ribosomal RNA, internal transcribed spacer 2, and large subunit ribosomal RNA". The stretch from base 1 to 120 matches the Rfam family "5.8S ribosomal RNA", at positions 35 to 154 of the family's 154-position model. The record is from RNAcentral.